Molecule: ribosomal RNA, 396 nt
Filed under: uncultured bacterium
Lineage: Bacteria
Description: partial 16S ribosomal RNA
Rfam family: Bacterial small subunit ribosomal RNA
Source: RNAcentral
AUACGGAGGGUCCGAGCGUUAAUCGGAAUUACUGGGCGUAAAGCGCGCGUAGGUGGUUCAGUCAGUCAGAUGUGAAAGCCCCGGGCUCAACCUGGGAACUGCACCUGAUACUGCUGAACUAGAGUACGGUAGAGGGCAGUGGAAUUUCCGGUGUAGCGGUGAAAUGCGUAGAGAUCGGAAGGAACACCAGUGGCGAAGGCGACUGCCUGGACUGAUACUGAGACUGAGGUGCGAAAGCGUGGGUAGCAAACAGGAUUAGAUACCCUGGUAGUCCACGCCGUAAACGAUGUCAACUAGCCGUUGGGGGACUUGAUCCUUUAGUGGCGAAGCUAACGCGAUAAGUUGACCGCCUGGGGAGUACGGCCGCAAGGUUAAAACUCAAAUGAAUUGACGGGG